This 266-nucleotide ribosomal RNA is filed under the name uncultured archaeon. RNAcentral describes it as "partial 16S ribosomal RNA". It matches the Rfam family "Archaeal small subunit ribosomal RNA", at positions 718 to 982 of the family's 1478-position model. The record is from RNAcentral.
AGUCACUGACAUUAGAUACCCCUGUAGUCCAGGGUGUAAACGCUGCAGGCUUGGUGUUGGAAGUCCUUUGGGGGCAUUCAGUGCCGGAGAGAAGUUGUUAAGUCUGCUACUUGGGGAGUACGUCCGCAAGGAUGAAACUUAAAGGAAUUGGCGGGGGAGCACCGCAACGGGAGGAGCGUGCGGUUUAAUUGGAUUCAACGACCGAAAAACUCACCAGCAGCGACUGUUACAUGAAAGUCAGGUUGAUGACCUUACUAGAUUUUCAG